GGGGGCAUAGCUCAGGGGUAGAGUAUUUGACUGCAGAUCAAGUGGUCCCCGGUUCAAAUCCGGGUGCCCCCU
Molecule: non-coding RNA, 72 nt
Organism: Fukomys damarensis (Damara mole-rat)
Lineage: Eukaryota; Metazoa; Chordata; Mammalia; Rodentia; Bathyergidae
Source: Rfam